RNAcentral lists this long non-coding RNA (16359 nucleotides) under Citrus x clementina. RNAcentral describes it as "Citrus clementina (C. clementina) long non-coding RNA (CCLE_LNC000146)". Lineage: Eukaryota; Viridiplantae; Streptophyta; Magnoliopsida; Sapindales; Rutaceae. The record is from RNAcentral.
ACCAUAAUGGAGUACAUAAGAGAAGUCACAAAAUUGGGUGAGUUCUGUUUGAAAUACUUUCAAUGGCUCUAGGAUUGAAGCCUGAAUAUUUGAAAGAUAUGAUAUGCUUCAAUUUAUACCUCAUUGUCUGCAACUACUAUCCGCACUACCCACAGCCAGAGCUGACUUUGGGAGCUAGAAGGCAUUCUGAUCCUUCAUUCCUUACAAUUCUGUUGCAAGACCAAAUCUGUGGCCUUCAAGUCUUUCAUGAAAAUCAGUGGAUUGAUGUCCACCCUAUAUCAGGAGACUUGGUGGUAAAUAUAGGGGGCUUUCUCCAGGUUUGUCUUUGAAAAUAAUAGAGACAAUUAAUCUUCCCAUCAUCUGCUUAAUUUUCGUGUUUUAAUAGUAACUAUAUAUGCUAAUUAAUGUUUUCAAUAAUUAAUUAAUUCAGGUUAUAUCAAACAAUAAGCUCAAGAGUGUUGACCAUAGAGUUGUGGCCAAUGUUCAUGCCACUGCAAGGGUUGCUGUGGCAUGCUUUUUCACAGGACAUGCUACUGAAGCGCAGAAGCCCUUUGGACCGAUCAAAGAACUUCAAAGCAAAUGUUUUCCAUCAAUUCUGAAGAAAAUCCACCUGUUUACAGAGAAUUUCUAGUGGGAGAAUAUAUGAGCAAAUUUUUUUCCAGAGAACUUCAAAGCAAGUCUGCUGGCCUUGAGCAGUUCAAGCUUUAAAAGUAGCAGUAUACUUGAAUAGAGUUCUCAAAUGCUGUAAAUUGAGUAUGUACUAAUGUUAAUAUCUGCCCUUACGAAAAAUUUCAAUCUACAUGUUUUAAAUAAGUAAGAGAUUUUAGAGUAUAUUAGAGGUACUACACUUAAUUAAUUGGUCGUUAUAUCUAAUUAAACUAUACAUGCUGUAUAUAUAAAUGUAGUACUUCUUUAUACUCCAGAAUUUCUUCAAAUAAGCAUAAUAUAUGAUUCUCUUGUGUUAUCGAUUAUUUUUGUGUAAAAUUCCAAAAGCAGCUUAUAGAUUCUAAUUUUUCUAAUGUUUUCAAUGCUAAUUUCAAAAUAAACAAUUAGACCUAAUGCUCAUAUAUAUGUUUAGAGUGUAAUUAAUUGAAAAAAUAUUUCAUAGUCAAAUCUCAAAUCGCUUAUCAUUAUAAAUAUAUUCUGUGACACGUGAGACUUUGAAAGAUCAACACAAUUCAAGUAAUUUGAUAAAUGUAAUGAGCGCCCAUGGCUACCGAAUAAAAAGAGGAAAGCAAUUUGGCCAGUGAAACCUCUCGACACCGUUCCUGGGUUUGCAGCAUCUUAUAUCUAAUGACAAGUUAUAACCCGUUCGGGUUUGAGACUGGAAAAUUAUUUCGGUUCGGUGCUGUUCGGUUUGGAAUUCGGUUCGAUUCGAUUCGAUUCGGUUCGGAUUGCAAAACGGCUUGGGUUGCAAAAUGGUAGUGUGUGUGUGUGUGUGUAUAGAGGGGGAGGGAAUUUUCGUUCUAGAACAUACAAUUGAUGUUAAUUUGCAAGUAGUGGCUGAGAAAAUUCAAACAAGAAGCCAAAAAGCAAAAAGAUAAUCAUCAAGAGAAUGGCAUCUACAUAUUACAGCCUUUUUAUUUGCAUGCGGGCCUCGGGCAAAUUAAUACAAAGAGAAGGCUCCAAAACAAGGGAUUGACCAAUCGAUUCUUGAUCACCAUGCACCAUAAAGCCAGCGUCACUGCCACAACCACCUAUGAUUAUGAUCUCAAGUUUUAGUGCUUUUGGAAAGUGUGUGUGGACGUGGGUCGAACAACACAGUACACAACAAUGCAAGAAAAUGCAGCCAAACAAAAUUUAUAAUCGACUUGCCGUGGGAGACGAGUGAACAGCGAGCUACGACAGCAUGGCUGUGGGCGAUUUGCUGUGCUGGCGAGUGACGACGGCAGGCUAAUAGCAAAGGAGCGGUCAUUGCUCGUGUGAGAGAGACGAGACGAAACGAAAUUAGACGGUGAGGACGUGACGCGUGAGGCAGUGGUGUGUUGGCGUGGUGCAGCGACGUCGACGUGGAGCGGUAGAGAAACUGCCGGCCGGGAUCGAUUCUGGUUAGGGUUUGGGAAUUGGGAUUUUGGGUAGGGUGUUAGAAUCGGGUUUGUGAGAACUGAGAAAUUCAAUUGGUUAUGAGGUAAUUGGAAAGAUAGAAAUGGUUAAACGGGUUUGGGAAUUGGGUUGUUGGAUUUUUUUUUUUUAAAAGAGUUAAAAAGCGCUCGGUUUGGAAAUGACCCGAACCGGAUGUCAAAACCGAUCGGGUCUGAGGAUAUAAUCCGUUCGGGUUUUAUCCACUUGAUUUUAAGCCAGGCCGUUUACCAAUUAUAACUAUCCAAUCUUUAUGCUCAUUAAUUAUUUGAUACUUUGUUGAAAGGUAUUAAUAUAAGCCAUAAGGCUACCAUCUAUGCUCGUCAUCUUCUUGUAGAAGACAGACAAUGGAUAUCUCAGAUGCGGCCAGUACAACGACAACGAAAACUGUAACGGAAUAUGACAGAGCUAAAGAGGUUCAGGCUUUUGAUGAUACGAAAGCCGGUGUCAAAGGACUAGUGGACGCUGGAGUAGUGAAUAUUCCCAGGAUAUUCAUUCGACCGCCUGCAGAGCUUGCGGAGGAGUUGACGACUCACCAGAGCAAAUUACAAGUGCCAGUUAUCGAUCUUGAUGGCAUCAGAUACAAUCAACUUGAAGAUAUUGUUGAUCAAGUUCGGGCUGCGUCCCAAACAUGGGGCUUUUUCCAAGUUAUCAAUCAUGGGGUUCCCUUAAACCUGAUACAAGAGAUGAUCGAAGGAGUUCACAAGUUUAAUGAACAAGAUGUUGAGGUGAAGAAACAGUUCUACACACGUGAGCGCACAAGAAAUGUUAGAUUCAACAGUAACUUUGAUCUGUAUCACUCACGAACCGCAAGUUGGAGGGACACGUUGGCCAUUUCUACUUCGGGUACCAAAAGUUUGGAACCCAAUGAAUGGCCGAAAGUUUGCAGGUAUAUACAUAAUCGAUCCCUGUCUCUGUAUAUAUAUUGCUGGUUAAUUAAGAGCCCUUUUUAAUUAAUGUUCAGUAUAUUGUAACCAGCCAUCAUGAGUUGUGAUAUCAUAUUCUUCUGUACAAUCGUUCAUCCGAAUUUGCAGAGAUACCAUAAUGGAGUACAUAAAGGAAGUCUCAAAAUUGGGUGAGACUCUGUUUGAAAUACUAUCAAUGGCUCUAGGACUGAAGCCUGAAUAUUUGAAAGAUAUGGGAUGCUUCAAUUUAUACAGCGUUAUCUGCCACUACUAUCCGCACUGCCCACAGCCAGAGCUGACUUUGGGAGCUAGAACGCAUUCUGAUCCUUCAUUCCUUACAAUUCUGUUGCAAGACCAAAUCGGUGGCCUUCAAGUCUUUAAUGAAAAUCAGUGGAUUGAUGUUAACCCUAUGUCAGGAGGCUUGGUGGUAAAUAUAGGGGACUUUCUCCAGGUUUGUUUUUGAAAAUAACGGAGACAAUUAAUCUUCCCAUCAUCUGCUUAUUUUUCGUGUUUUAAUAGUAACUAUAUAUGCUAAUUUAAAGUUUUCAAUAAUUAAUCAAUUCAGGUUGUAUCAAACGAUAAACUCAAGAGUGUUGACCAUAGAGUUGUGGCCAAUGUUCAUGCCACUGCAAGGGUUUCCGUGGCAUGCUUUUUCACAGGACACACCACUGAAACGCAGAAGCCCUUUGGGCCGAUCAAAGAGUUGAUCUCUGAAGAAAAUCCGCCUGUUUACAGAGAAUUUCUAGUGGGAGAAUAUUUCAGCAAAUAUUUUUCUAAAGAACUUGAAGGCAAGUCUGCUGGCCUCAAGCAGUUCGAGGCUUGAAAGUAGCAAUAUAUUUGAAUAGAGUUCUUAAAUGUUGUGUAAUCAAUAAAUUGAGGAUGUACUGAGGUUAAUAUCUGCCCUUCCGAAUAACUUCAAACUACAUGCAUGUUUCAAAUAAGGAUAAUAAUUCUCUUGUGAUUUAUUUAUUUAUUUUUUUAUUUUUUGUGUAAGAUUCAAGAAGCAUCCUAUCAAUUUGGAAUUUUUUAUGUUAUCAUGCUAAUUUAAAAAUAAACAAUUAGACUUAAUGCUCAUAUAUAAUUAUAUAUGAUCUACUACUGAUAUUUUUACAAGAUUGAACUUUAGUGUAUCAUUAAUUAAAAAAAAAUUAUUAUGUACUCAAAUCUUAAUAGUAUGCGUUUUACUAAGUUAUAUAUAAUGUAACUUACAAUAAACCCAAAGUUAAUUAUCCAUAACCUUUUGCUUGUUUCACAUAUUAUCAUUCUCUUGUAUUGAAAAAUUAUUUUUGAAUUGUUGUAAAUUACAUAUAACCUAACUUAGCAGCUACCCAUGUAUCAUUAUAAAUAUAUUCUGUUACACGAGAUCUUUGAACUAUACAACACAAAUUAGCAAAAAAUCUGGACUUGAAAAAUGUAAUAACUGAAGCGGUUGAACAUGAGCUGUAAUGCUCAGGGCUACCCAAUAUGCUGGACUUUUCUAAUUCCAACAUCGGAGUCAAAGGGUCAACAGAUUAGGCAAUUGAUUAAGGCCUCAUAUUUAGUUAAUAUGCAUUUAGUCAAACUUUUUUAUUUGUAAAUUUUCUAUCCUCAGUAAUUAUAAAGCAGCAAGCCAGCAAACGAUGUAUAUUAAGUGCCUGUUUGGUAUGGCUUAUUUAAGAGCCAUAAGAGCUUAUUUAAUCGUAUAAGCACUUUUUAAAAAAUUUUAUAGUGUUUGUUUAUUUUUUUAGUAGAGUUUUUUUAGCUUAAAUAAGCUAAUUUACCUCUACUAACAAAAGCCUAAAAUUUGAGCUUUUGGGAGUAGAGGUUAUAAAGCUUUUUUAAAAAUAUAUAAUAUAAAAAAUAUCACACAGUUUAAUAGUUCAAAAGUGUGUUUUUUAUUGACAACCAAACACCCAAUGACUUUUUGUCCAAAAGUUCUAUUGGUAUAAACUCUACUGUUAUAAGCUCUAUUUAAUAAGUUGUACCAAACGGAGCCUAAUUAGUUUGCAAAAUAAAGGGCUUAUUGGAAAUUCUCCUGUAUACAGUGAAACGUCUGUGCAAGAUUUCAUUGCGUACUGCAAAUCAAGAGGACUUUGAUGGGAACUCUGCUCUCACACGUUUCAAGUUGCGGAGGUAACCACAGAUAGGAGGUUAGGUUGCCGUGAUUAACGGAUUGUUUACCCAAGUGGAUGGUUGUGCUGGAGCCGUACUGAUGCGCACUGACAUCCAUGUGCUUCUCAACACUUGAUGUUUGCUUUCACUUGUCGAAGUUGGAUUUGAAAAAGAAAAAGCCGAUGUACGAAAAGGGUCCAGCUACAGUUCAACACCCCCUUGUAAAUUUUCAUUUAACCCUUUUUACUCAUUUUUAUUUAAACUUUAUUUCAUAAAUAUUAAGUUAUUUCCUACUGCAUCUAUAUGAAUAUUUUAGUUAGCACCUUAUACUAUUUAUUAUUAACAAAAUUUUAUUUUAUAUUACAUAUGUAUCACAAUGCCCCCUCCCUUUAUAAUUUUGAGAUCAAAUAAUUAAUCAGAUCGACCCGAACACUCGAACCCGACCCAGAUUUCGUUUCCAUUUCCGGCCACUCUACCGCCCAAGGUUGAUACCAAUCAGAAGCUCGUGAGAUGCCGGUCAUCUCCAUGCCACCCACGUUGUCAGAAGGCUUUCGGAAAGCUACCGUCGACUCGACCCUGAUUCCGUUUUCGUUUUCGGCCACUCCACUGGCCAAGGUUGGUACCGAUCGGAAGCUAGUGCGACACCGGUCAUCGGCAUACCAUCCUUGUCGCUGAAAAGUAUUCGUAAAGUUGCGGAUCGAAGCCAUGAAAAGCCGCGGAAUCAUCGCUUCAAUUCGCUAUGAUUUCGCCAGUUUUCGGUGACGCCACCACUUGUGUUUUGUUCCCCAUAAAUCCCUCUGUCUUUUCCGACCAACCACAGCCACUGGAGGAGCCGUUAUCAGCCGUUGAAGGAUUCAGGGAUGCAGUAGAAAGUAACUUAAUAUUUGUGAAGCAAAGUUCAAAUAAAAAUGAGUGAAAGGGGUUAAAUAAAAUUUUACAAUGGUACAGCCACAAAAGACAAAAGAAAUGACAUGGUACCGCUGUGGUAUAAUAGCUUAGUCCGUACGAAAAACCAAUUAGGACGUCUAUUUACUUCAGGAAUGAAAAUUAUUUGAAUAUCUCUGCUGUAAGCAUAGCAUCCUUGAAUCGUUGACUGCCAGUGCAAUGGUGUGAUCUCUAUCAAGCAAUAAGUAAGCUUGAUUUUAAGCCAGGCCGUUUACCAAUUAUAACUAUCCAAUGUUUAUGCUCAUUAAUUAUUUGAUACUUAGUUGAAAAGUAUUAACAUAGGCCAUAAGACUACCAUCUAUGUUCAUCAUUUUCUUGUAGAAAACAGACGAUGGAUAUCUCAGAUGCCAGUAGAACGACCACGCAAACUGUAACGGACUACGACAGAGCUAAAGAGGUUCAGGCUUUUGAUGAUACAAAAGCCGGUGUCAAAGGAUUAGUGGAUGCUGGAAUUGUGAACAUUCCGAGGAUAUUCAUUCGACCACCUGAGGAGCUUGUCGAGGAGUUGACCAGUCAUCAGACCAAUUUUCAAGUACCGGUUAUCGAUCUUGAUGGCGUCAGAGGCAAUAAGCUUGAGGAGAUUGUUGAUCAAGUUCGGGCUGCAGCAGAGCCAUGGGGCUUCUUUCAAGUGGUGAAUCACGGUAUUCCCUUAAAUGUGUUGGAAGAGAUGAUUGAAGGGAUACGCAAGUUUAAUGAACAAGAUGUUGAGUUGAAGAAAGAGUUUUAUACACGUGACCAGACAAGAAAUGUCAGAUUCAACAGCAACUUUGAUCUGCAUUACUCACGAACAGCUAAUUGGAGGGACACGUUGACAAUUUCUACCGUAGCUUCCACCAAUUUAGACCCCAACGAAUACCCAGAAGUUUGCAGGUACAUACUUUGAUCGCUGGCUAUGUAUAGCAUUAUCUCCCAACAUCUGAAUCCGACUGAUUGUUUAAUAUGCAAUUGGAUACACUUUAUGGAAGGCAUUGGGCUUGCUACCACAAGUUCAAAUAAUAAGUUCUUUUGGACCAAAAUUUGUUGAAGUUGAAAAAGAAAGUCUUAGUUGGGACGCAUAGUUGCUGCAAUAUGCUGAGGUUUUUUCUCAUGUUGGGUUAUUAAGUUUGUUUAUUGAAUGUGAAAGACACGGUCUGUAAGCAUGUUCUUGUUCCUGCUAAUAUUUCAUUUAAUGUUUCACUAUUUGCUGCUGCAAAUGAGCACCCUACUUUAUGCUCACUUAGGCAUUUAAUCAAACUUCUUCAUAGAUAUUAUCAAACACCUGUGAACUCCUUGUAAUAGACGUGAAAACAAACCAUCAACAGAAAUCAUCAACCAACAACUACAAGAGCAAUUAAUGUGUGGUUCAUUGAAUUGGCUUAUGUACAUCUAAGUUCCUAUCAUUCGAUAUCACAAAAUUGUAAUUCUAAAUGAAUCAACAAUUUUGCAUUUUACAGGUCUAUUGAAAUUAAUUAAUUCGUGAUCACAGUGAUAUUUUUUUCUUUUUACUUUUUUCUGUUAAUACCCAAUUGAUUGUAUCUUCUCCUGUGCCAAUUGUUCUCACAAAUUUGCAGAGAUGCUGCGAGAGAGUACAUUAAAAAUGUCACAAAAUUGGCUGAAACUCUGUUUGAAUUAUUAUCACUGGCUCUUGGGCUGAAGGCUGAACAUUUACUAGAGAUUGGAUGCCCUAAAGAAUACAUCCUUCUCUGCCAAUACUAUCCACCUUGCCCUCAGCCAGAUUUGACAUUGGGAGCUACCGGGCAUUCAGACCCUUCAUUUCUUACCAUUCUUCUGCAAGACCAAAUCGGCGGCCUUCAAGUCUUUCAUGACAAUCAAUGGGUUGGUGUUCAACCCAUCGUGGGAGGCUUAGUGGUAAACAUAGGGGACUUCCUCCAGGUUUGUCUUUCACAAUUGCAAUGACUAUUUUUUCCACCAUCAUGCCAAUCUUCAUCAAUCAUCACGACACUCAUGACUAAUUAGCUGAUGGUGUCUUAAAAUUGAAUCAGAUUAUAUCAAACGACAAGUUCAAGAGUGUUAAACACAGAGUAGUCGCCAGUCAGGUCGGUCCAAGGGUUUCCGUGCCAUGCUUUUUCAUGGGACAUAAUGCAGAAAUCCCAAAGUCUUAUGGGCCGAUCAAAGAGUUGACAUCCGCAGAAAAUCCUCCUAUUUACAGAGAUUUUCUUGCAAGUGAAUAUUUUAGCAAACGAUUUUCUACGGUGCUUGAUGACAAUUCUCCCCUCCAUCAGCUCAAAUUAUGAAGCCGGCAAUAUUUGUAUAAAUUACUCGUAUUUGGUAACAACAAUUUACAAAUUGCGGAGUCCUGUUGUGAACUCUUUCCCAAUAAUUCCGAAAAAAAUAUGUUUUAACUAAUUAAUAAGGUAUGAAUCAUCCAAUGUUGCUCUUUGAUUUCUUCAAUUAUUAGAAUGUCCCUACUGCACUGCAGUUCCCCAAUUAGUGUCAAAAUUGCUCAGCCAGCGCUCGUUGUAAUGCUUCGUUUAUUAUUUGAUAUGGAUUAAACGAUUGUUUUAAUCAGAUCAUGAUUCAAGGUCGAUACGAUCACCCUAAGAUCUUGAUUGACCACUAAUGAUGAAAGAAAAAAGAACACAGACUAUCUGAUUUAUGCACUAAACAAAAACAAUCAAUUGAGCACCAAGAACCAGAUUUACGUGGUUCAAUGGAGAUGGCUCAUAUUCAAGGAAGAAUGGGGUAUCAGGAUUUCAUUAAACCUUGAUGUCAAAUUAUACAAUGACACUACAAGUUGCUUGGAACAAGAUGAAGUGACUUUCUCUCUCUAAUUCUUAUAUCUACAGCAUGUAUGAGAUCUCAGUAACCAUGAUGUUGAUCAGCUUGUCAUAACAGCGCGACGGGGACCCGGGGAAGAAAAAAAAACUGUUCCUGUUUGACCAAUUUGACUUAGGUGGCCCAGGUGCGUUGCACGUGAUUACUCAGUUCAACAUCAAAACGACAGAAUUCUCAGCCGUUUCACGCUUGGAUUUUUAACGCCAAACGUUACCCUUUUUUUCUCUGUUUCAAAGGGCAAACCACAGGCGUUUUAAUUUGCAGCCUCCUGAUUUGAGAUCUUAUGUCAACGCCGUCGUAAUCCUUACUCCUUAGUCGAUCAGACACCUCAUUCUCUUAUCCUUGAGAUUUAUGAUUUUGCUGUCCCAUGAGCGUAAUAGUUUGGUUUUUUUUUUUUUAAUAAAACCACCAAGAGGUGGGGUUAGGUGGACCCCCUGUCUAUAAUAUAAAUGAAUAAUAAAGUAAAUACAUGAGAAAGACAUAAACCAAAAUCUCCUAAAAUAAAUAUAAAUACAGAAGAAUAAAAUUAUCAAAAGGAAGAUAAAAGCCAUCAAUGCUCGCCUAUGAGGUAAUGAACAACAUGCGCAUCCAAAUGGAGAGUGCUAGAUAAGUCAGCACGAAGAUCUUGAGAACACAAGAAAUGCUGACUAACCUAAUGAGUGUAGGCCCGAUUGGCCAAAAAAUCGGCAGCAAAAGUAACCCCGAGAAGCACAUGCCUAACAAAAAUAGGAGAGGAAGAUGUCAAAGCACACACCCGACACAAUGAAUAAGCAUAAUCCCAACGAACAGGACCCCGAGAAUAAAUCCAAGAAAAAAUUGUGGCCGAGUCUGACUCGAUGCACGGAGUAACCAAGCUAAGUAGCAAGCUCCAACAUUUCACAAACAACCAUAAGCUCAAGGUAAAAAAUUGGCUGACAGCCAAGAAAAGAUUCAAAAGCAGCUAAAAUCACACUUCGAUGAACUCAUAUAAUACCACCUGACGCAGGCAUUCCAGGAUUGCCCCUAGGGCAACCAUCCACAAUCAGUUUUGCAAUCCCAAUAAGCAGCCUCAUCGAAGAAAGGCAGUAGUUUGUUUAUUUAUUUAACUUUCAUUGGUUUGCGAUUUUUUAGAUGGACUUCAAAUAUGAUACGUCUAUGCAAGUCUCCAUGGAUAUUGAGUUGGACUUCAAAUCUCCAUGCAUAUACUGGACUUAUUGUUUCUAGAAUCCAGAAAAAGAGUAACUAUUGGCAACCCUCUAUAAUCCUUAUAAAAUUUGUCUUCUAUGACAAUUACAUUAAAGAACAACAUAAAUCUAACUAAAUCCUUUCAUUUUCUUUCUCUAACUCUUUACACCUAUAGAAUCAAUCCAAUGUUUUUCAUUUUUUUUUCAAACAAACACUUUGUGUUUUAAUCAUUCUUAAUCUACAAAUAAUUUCUCACGCUUAUCGAUGAUCUCCUCGUCCAUUUUCAAUUUCUUGUAUAACCUUGAAUAAUAAACUUUUUUAAAAUUACAGAUAAUCCACUUUUAACCCUAGUUAAUUCUAACAUACGUGAUUUUACUUUUAAGAGUUAAAUAUGUAUAAUUUAAUCGUUAAAAAAGUUGUUCGAGGAACAUAUAUUUGGAGUUGAGUGGAAGAAGUUGAAAAAAUAGAAAAAAAGAUAUUUGAUAGAAAAGGGACUUUAAAAGGAAAUAACAGGGUGCUAAUAGUCCUACUUUCUUAGACAAAGUAGAGGAAUGGGCAAAUCCAGAUCAAUUCUUUGUAGAGUUGUUGUGUAGAAAUGUGUCAAACAACGAUGCAAGAUAAUAACAAAUAAAGGAGAAAAAGAAAAUGUCACAAAAAAAUUUAUGUGGUUCAAUAAAUUGCCUACAUCUAAGGCAGGGAGAAUUCAAAUAUCCACUAAUAUGACAAAGGUGGAAUACAACUAUCUCAAUGUCACUUCUCAAAUUCUCAAUACACCUUUUUUUCUCAAUUCACAAGUAUCAAAGACAGAACACUCAAGUUAUUUGAAUUCCUCAAAUAGGAAUUGAACCUCGCAAAUGCUUACUGGAAGCUCUUAAUUAAUGCUUAUAGGAAGCUCACAAUUGUUUUUCUUCAAUACUUAAACAAAUGGAACCAUGAGCUAUUUAUAGCCAAUUUGCAAACAAUGGCCACAUUAUUUUAAUCCAAAGUGGUUACCUAACUUGGCCAUUUUUUUGCCAAAAUGCUCCACUAACAAUUAUUUAAUGGCACAUGUUUGGGAGAAAUACGUCGACGAGACCAAGCAUGGUGAGCAGAUAUCUGAUGGCAGAGUUCUGCGAACCGGUGUGUUCCGUAAAAGCCUAGUGCGCAGGGGAACAGGAGCAGAAAUAUCCUGCUCGUCCACGAGCACGUCAUCCGCGAGGCAAAUUUCCUGUAAGAGGCAUAAGGCCAUUCCGGCUAGAGGUCGAGAGGCGAGGAGACCCGGUCGACGGCAGUUGGCAAGACAUGCUCUCCAGCCCGAGAAUCUAGGCACGACAGCCACGCUUUCCCCAGAACCGUGGCGUAACACGCAAGAUCCCACGUUUGCCCAUAACGCGGCAGUCAGAGUCCCAUACCGUCUCGAAAAAAGCGGAAAACUGGGAUUCAGAGGAAGCCUAUAAAAAGGUAGCCAACGAAGGUAAAUGGGUUAGCAUUUUUGAGAUUAGAAAAGAAAUUCUAAAAGAGAGAAAACAACCUAACAGCCAUAAGAUUUGUGGCAAGCGUUCCCCGAACCUUCAUAUCUGACUUGAGCGUCGGAGGGUUUGCGCCGGGAAAACAACCGGCGUACUCUGACCUGUCUGUGUGCGCAGGAACCUCUGGAGAAGAAGCCUUGCGAGGAGACCCCCUGGUCGUGAUGAAGUUGAUCGAGCAGAGAUUCUGGUCGUAGAACGAGGAGAACCGGAAUCUUGCAUCAACAGCACCUACUUUGGCCACUAUCAAUUGUGGGCUUACUUUUACCUAAUUGCUCCACUAAAAAAUGUUGAAUCGCUAAAUGGAAGCCACAUCGCCAACAAUCUCCACCUUGGCUUCAAAUUUGAUGUCGUCAACAUUUCCUACUGGAGCAAUUGGGUAAAGUAAGCCAAAAAUUGAAAGUGGCCAAAUUAGGUGGCAUUAAAUAAUUGUUAGUGGAGCAUUUUGGCAAAGGAAAUGGCCAAGUUAGUUAACCACUUUGGAUUAAAAUAAUGUGGCCAUUGUUUGCAAAUUGGCCAUAAAUAGCUUAUGGUUCCAUUUGUUUAAGUAUCGAAGAAAAACAAUUGUGAGCUUCUUACAAGCAUUAAUUAAGAGCUUUCAGUAACUAUUUGUGAGGUUCAAUUCCUACUCGAGGAAUUCAAAUAACCUGAGUGUUCUUUCUUCAAUACUUGUGAAUUGAGAGAAAGGGUGUAUUAGGAAUUUGAGAAGUGACGUUGAGACAGUUGUAUUUCACCUUUGUCAUAUUAGUGGAAAUUUGAAUUGUCCCCCGUGGAUGUAGGUAAUUUUUUUUUAAUCUCUUUUUCUUUCUCUCCUUUAUUUCGGAUCUAUAGUGUCUGUAAAGACUAGGCUUGGCAAAAUCUGGGUCCGGUCCGGGUUUUGGUGUUGCCCGGGACCGGACCGGAUGAGAGAAAUGCAAACCCGGACCCGGGUUAAAACCCAGUUUUUCCAGGUGCGGUCCGGGCUUGAGCCCGGCACCUUCCGGGUCUGGGUUUUGAUCCGGACUUUUUAAACCCGCAUGUGAUAAAUUUAAUUUUUUUUCAAUUUUUUUCUUCAAUUUUUUUUUAAUUUCUCUAACAAUACAAAUUUUUAAAAAGAAAAUAAUCAAAUAAACUCAUUCAAUUUCAAAUUUUAAAAAAGAAAAUAGUCAAAUACAAAUAUGUAACACAUUAACAAUACAAAUUUUGCACAAAUGAUAAAUAAAAAUUAUUUCAAUCUACUUUUUAAUACCUAAAUUUAUCCAAUUUCUAACUUAAACUCAUUCAAUCUAUAUAUAAAAUAAAUAAAUUAAAUUCAAUAACACAAUAAUUACACAAUAAAUUUAAAUAACAUCCAAUAUAUCAUAAAUUCAUAAUUAUAUAUUUAUAUAUAAUAUAUUUAUUUUUUUUAAAUUUAUUAAAAAACCGGAUCCGGUCCGGGUUCCGGGUUUUUUGUGUUGAACCCGGACCCGGGACCGGAAAUGUCCGGGUUUGAGAAUUUCAAACCAGGAUCUGGUUUUUAUAUGCAUGUGGUCCGGGUUUUGCCCGGACCGGAUUGGCUGGGUCCGGGCCGGGUCCGGUCCGGGCGGGCUUUUUUGACACCCCUAGUAAAGACAGUGUUGACAAAUGCUAAAGUUGAAGUUGAAAAUUUUAAUGGAACCAACAACUUUAGUAUGUGGCAAUGCGAGAUAAUAUCAAAUAAAGGAGAUAAAGGAAAUGACACCAAAAAAAAAAAAAUUACGUGAUUUGGCAAAUUGCCUACAUGCAUGGGAGGGAGAAUUUAAAUUUCCAUUAAUAUGACAGGUGGAAUAGAACUCUCUCAAGCUUACUUCCUAAAUUCUCAAUACACCCUUUCUCUCAAUUCACAAGUAUCAAAGAAAGAAUACUCAAAUUGUUCGAAUUCCUCAAAUAGGAAUUGAACCUCGGAGAUGCUCACUAAAAGCUCUUAACUAAUACUUUUAGGAAGCUCACAAUAGUUUGUCUUCGAUACUCAAACAAAUGGAACCGUAGGCUAUUUAUAGCCAAUUUUUCAAACAAUGACCAUAUCUUAAUCCAAAGUGGUUGUCUAGCAUGACCAUUUCUUUUACCAAAAUGCUCCAUUAAUGAUUAUUUUAUGGCACCUAAUUUGACCACUAUCAAUUGUUGGCUUACUUUCCCUAAUUGCUCCACUAACAAAUGUUGAAUAGCUAAAUGGAAGCCACAUUGCCAACAAUAGUGAAGCUCCUAACGCUAUUUUAAAACUCUAGGAAACCCCACUUAUUAUAUAUAUAUAACUCUUAUUUUGAUGAAAUUUUUAGAAAGGGACAAAAGGUCAUAAUAGAGUUUAAUUAAUUAACAAACAAUUUUUUUUAAUAAAAACAUAUAAUUUUUUACUAUAUUGCCACAAAAUUAUUUUGAUUUAAAAUAAUUAUUUAUAUCAUGUAAAGAUUGAGUUCAUGAUUUAUAAAUAUAAAAAUAUUUUAAUUUAGUUAAAUUCAUAUUUAUUAAUAUAAGGUUUUAUGAUAAUUUUUUAAAAAGUGAGCAACGACUAUUUGAAAACUAUUUCAUCAAGCCAUGAGGACAAUUAAUUGGACCUUUUUAAUGCAAAAUGCCCAAUUUUGAAAAAUUCCAGCCAAGUGGCAAAACUAAAAGCAAUGCCUUGAAUAAUUUGGCACCAUGGCCUCCCUAGGUUUCCUUAAUCUACAAAUAUUAAAGCGAACCAUGAAUUAUUUGUCUCCGUUUCCAAGUAUUAGGUAGAAUUAAUGUACUAGGCAUUUUAGCUUAGGAAAUCCUCUAUAUAUAUAUAUAUAACACAAAAAAAUCAAACACGUGAUUUGAAAAUUUUUAAAAGUGUUAAAAAUGUUUAGAAAUAAUAGAUAGAUUCAGCCCCAGGAUAUCGUAUGAUAUUAAUGACAACGAGACAAAGGCUUGAAAAAUCAAACAUUAAAGACACAUUUCCCCCCGGCAAGAUGCCUAAUAUUUACAAUGCUCUGGUACUCAAGAGUCGAGACACAAGGACAUGAAAAAUCAAAGCAAACGAUGAUGUGUUUCAAAAGUUUAUCAUUUCUGUGAGUGAAAGGACUCGAUAAAGUAGAAAUCGAACGACGACUGAUCUCUGGUAAACAUCUAUAGGUACGCAACAAAUAUUUACCAACUAACUAAAUUAAGAAUAUUAUGUUUGAGAAAUCAAACAUAAUUUGGAAAAUAAUUAGUGUUGCAAAUAUUUAUCCUUUCUGUGAUUGAAAGAACUCGAUAAAUAGCAACUCAAUGAUAAUUGAUCUCUGGUAAAUAUCUAUAGGUGAACACAGAUACUUGCCAGCUAACUUAAGAUUAAGUUAGUAUAAAAUAUAUAUUUUAAAAUAUACCAAAAUUUCCUAGUAGUAUCCCAAUAUUUCUAAUCCAAGUGCUGACCAUUCAAUAGAUGAAUGCCUCCUCACUUAAGAUGAUUAGAGGUAGAAAAAUGAUAUUUAUUCAUAAUGAUUAAAGAACAGGCCAUAGAAACAAUUAUAAAACCAUAUGGAAUUAACGUGUUUUUCAUUAAUUUUUUAAAUUAAUUGUAACACCAUAUGGUGUUAACUUAUUUUUAUCAUUAUCUUUUUUCAUAACUGUAGGACCAUAGAGUAUUAACGUGUAUUCUAUAGCCAUUAUGAAAUAUUUUCCUGGAUGAUGAAUAUUAUUAGGUAAGAUACUGUAAAAAAACAAAAUGAAAAUGAUAAAAUAAUCUAAUCAAGAUCGUUCUCAAUCAUACUCUAAAUCUAUCAAAUAAUGUCCCUUAAAGAAACAGUCCACAAAGCCUUCUUCUAGAUAUCAAUGUUUAUUACUCCAAAAAUUUUCCUGAAAACGCAGUUUAAAGAGGAAAAAAAAAAAUAGUGGGAAACAACAAUAGAAUCAGUGAAGUUGACAACAAUUAUGGCAUUUUCCAGUAAUUGAGAAAUUUAAAUCAUAAGUAAUAUAAGAACUUUCUCACAAGUCAUGCCGGAUAUUACUGUAUUAGAAUAAAUAAGCCAUUAGAUGCCCACAAUCCUCAUCGUUUUCUUGCAGGAAUGGAAAAUGGUUAUCUCGGAUGACACCAAAACAUCUUCUGAAAAUGGGUGGGAAAUCGACAGAGAGCGCAAGGUUUUUGAUGAUACGAAAGCCGGUGUCAAAGGACUAGUGGACGCUGGCGUAGUGAAUAUUCGCAGGAUAUUCAUUCGACAACUUGAAGAGCUUGCUCAGGAGUUGACCACUCACCGGACCAAACUACAACUGCCAGUUGUCGAUCUUGAUGGCAUCCAAGACAAUAAACUUGAAGACAUUGUUGAUCAAGUUCGGGCUGCGUCCGAAACAUGGGGCUUUUUCAAAGUUAUCAAUUAUGGGGUUUCCUUAAACCUGAUACAAGAGAUGAUUGAAGGAGUUCACAAGUUUAAUGAACAAGAUGUUGAGGUGAAGAAACAGUUCUACACACGUGAGCCCACGAGAAAUGUUUGAUUCAACAGCACAUUGAUAUCUAUCACUCACGAACUGCAAGUUGGAGGGACACGUUGGCUGUUUUUAUUUCGUGUACCAAAAGUUUGGAACCCAACGAUAUGCCCCAAGUUCGCAGGUAAAUGUAUAAUCGAUCCUGUCUCUGUAUAUAUAUUGCUGGUUAAUGCAGAGCCUUUUUUGUAAUGUUGAGUGCACUGCAACCAAUGAUCAUGAGUGGUGAUAUCAUAUUCUUCUGUACAAUCGUUCAUCCCAAUUUGCAGAGACACAAUAAUGGAGUACAUAAGAGAAGUCACAAAAUUGGGUGAGUUCUGUUUGAAAUACUAUCAAUGGCUCUAGGAUUGAAGCCUGAAUAUUUGAAAGAUAUGGGAUGCUUCAAUUUAUACCUCAUUGUCUGCAACUACCAUCCGCACUGCCCACAGCCAGAGCUGACUUUGGGAGCUAGAAGGCAUUCUGAUCCUUCAUUCCUUACAAUUCUG